CAGUAGCCGCGGUAAUACGAGGGGGGCAAGCGUUGUUCGGAAUUAUUGGGCGUAAAGGGUGCGUAGGCGGUUUGGCAAGUUUGGUGUGAAAUCUUCGGGCUCAACUCGAAGUCUGCAUCGAAAACUGCCGGGCUUGAGUAUGGGAGAGGUGAGUGGAAUUUCCGGUGUAGCGGUGAAAUGCGUAGAUAUCGGAAGGAACACCUGUGGCGAAAGCGGCUCACUGGACCAUAACUGACGCUGAUGCACGAAAGCUAGGGGAGCAAACAGGAUUAGAUACCCCUGUAGUCCCUGUCUCUUAUAC
Molecule: ribosomal RNA, 301 nt
Filed under: uncultured bacterium
Lineage: Bacteria
Description: partial 16S ribosomal RNA
Rfam family: Bacterial small subunit ribosomal RNA
Source: RNAcentral